GAAAUGCGAUAAGUAGUGUGAAUUGCAGAAUUCAGUGAAUCAUCGAAUCUUUGAACGCACAUUGCGCCCUAUGGUAUUCCGUAGGGCAUGCCUGUUCGAGCGUCAUUCAAACCUUCAAGCUUUGCUUGGUGUUGGGCGUCUGUCCUGCCUCACGGCGUGGACUCGCCUCAAAUGGAUUGGCGGCCGGCACGUUGGCUUCGAGCGCAGCAGAAACGCGAACUCGGUGCACGACGGGUCAGCUCCCAGAAGCGAAACCCAUGAAUUUGACCUCGGAUCAGGUAGGGAUACCCGCUGAACUUAAGC
RNAcentral lists this unclassified non-coding RNA (303 nucleotides) under plant metagenome. RNAcentral's name for it is "partial contains 5.8S ribosomal RNA, internal transcribed spacer 2, and large subunit ribosomal RNA". The stretch from base 1 to 105 matches the Rfam family "5.8S ribosomal RNA", at positions 50 to 154 of the family's 154-position model. The record is from RNAcentral.